RNAcentral lists this ribosomal RNA (441 nucleotides) under uncultured bacterium. RNAcentral's name for it is "bacterial SSU rRNA". It matches the Rfam family "Bacterial small subunit ribosomal RNA", at positions 46 to 501 of the family's 1533-position model. The record is from RNAcentral.
GGAUUAGGCAUGCAAGUCGAGCGACGUGUUUUCCUUCGGGAAAAUUACGAGCGGCAAACGGGUGAGUAACACAUUGGUAACCUACCUCUUUCUCAAGCAUAGCCCACCGAAAGGUGGAUUAAUACUUGAUAGUAAUGCGGGGACACAAGUCAUUCGCAUUUAAAGAUUUAUCGGAAAGAGAGGGGCCUAUGUCUGAUUAGCUUGUUGGUAGGGUAACGGCCUACCAAGGCAAUUAUCAGUAGCAGGCGUGAGAGCGUGACCUGCCUCACCGGGACUGAGACACUGCCCGGACUCCUACGGGAGGCUGCAGUCAAGAAUCUUCCGCAAUGGCCGAAAGGCUGACGGAGCGACGCCGCGUGCAGGAUGAAGGCCUUCGGGUUGUAAACUGCUUUUAUAUGGGAAGAAUUUGUGACGGUACCAUAUGAAUAAGAGGUUGCUUAA